GUCUACGGCCAUACCACCCUGAACGCGCCCGAUCUCGUCUGAUCUCGGAAGCUAAGCAGGGUCGGGCCUGGUUAGUACUUGGAUGGGAGANN
This 92-nucleotide ribosomal RNA is filed under the name Mesocricetus auratus (golden hamster). Lineage: Eukaryota; Metazoa; Chordata; Mammalia; Rodentia; Cricetidae. The record is from RNAcentral.